UUUUCACGAAGUGACGGAUAAGAGGAAAAUUGUCACUUUUUUCAAUUUUGAGUUUUUUGCAUUUUUGGACAUCUAUGACUUAUAUCUUGAACCUCAAAAAGUUUCAGAUCACAAUAAUGUCUAAUUACGUUGCUAUGACGACAUGACAUUCAAUAAAAUACCGGGUAAAAUGAUUUCUUGUUUUCACGAAGUGACGGAUAAGCAGCCGUCAUUACGUGAAAACAAACGAAUACGCUUUGCACUCAAGAGUUUUUUCACGAAGUGACGGAAGGCAAAUAUUUACAGUUUGGAACAGCCGAAGACCAUGAAAUGAUGCAGUAUAUACAAUAAGUGAUGUUUCAGAGAACAAAUGAGAGAAGUCCUGGAACUGGUACACUUGUUGCUGAUGGUCAGAUACAAUUCCAGGUUAGAUCCAGGGGCCGACACGCUUGUCAGAUGUGUCAUUGAUGAUUCCCUGAACAUCACAGAU
This 469-nucleotide long non-coding RNA is filed under the name Lytechinus variegatus (green sea urchin). Its description in RNAcentral is "uncharacterized LOC121418617". The record is from RNAcentral. Lineage: Eukaryota; Metazoa; Echinodermata; Echinoidea; Temnopleuroida; Toxopneustidae.